AGGAAGAUCUUCACUUUCAUCUGCCCAACUUGUGGAAGUAUUUGGUUUGGCAGCAUACACCACGCUGUUCGCAUUACCCUUUGAUGUGUCAUUAGAUAAAAAUGUUAUGAAUGCUUAUCACCUUGAGGUCGUCACCUUGGACGGUAACAAAAAACAAACAGAUUUACUGCGGUCACAAAAGCUUCCAUACGGCAUAUUGAAGAGAACAAAAAGAUGAAGAGCUUGUAUCUCCUUGUCGCGCUCCUACUUGGGAUCUUAGGAAAUCCUCAGUUUGUGAAAAUCAAAGUGGUUAAAGGAAACGACCCAGGAUUAUGUUAUAAAAAUAGCAGUGAAA
This is a long non-coding RNA of Xenia sp. Carnegie-2017, 334 nucleotides long. RefSeq lists it as uncharacterized. The record is from RefSeq and is a predicted model, not a curated record. The transcript has 3 exons. NCBI's taxonomy places the organism in Eukaryota, Metazoa, Cnidaria, Anthozoa, Malacalcyonacea, Xeniidae.